Molecule: small RNA, 594 nt
Filed under: human gut metagenome
Source: RNAcentral
GUUAUUAAGGUGGUGCAGUAUUCUAGUCAGCUUGUCCUGCCUUGAAGACGGGAUUAAAAAAUCGUCAAAGGGCAUAUCGAUGAAGUUUCUUGUGCAGGCUUCGGACGCCCAGUCCGGGGUUUGUGCUGGGAGUUAAGGAGGUUGGGCGAUCCGCAAUGGCAUGCGGGCGUUGACCCAGUCUCCGCGGAGACAUAUUGCGGUGGCUUUUAAGCUACUGGAUAUGGAUGAACCUGCUAUGCGGUGCCGUUAUUGGCUGCUGUGUACAGCGUAGCCUGCCUUGAGUGGAUUUUGAGGGAUAAAGGAACAUUCGUUUUAAGCAUGGCCAUGCUUUAACGUAAUGACGGCCUUUUGAAAUCUUGUCUGCAAAAGAGGCUAGAGGCUGGGCGUGCUGCCGAGGAAAUCUCCUAGACUGUUUACGGCAUUUCGGGGAUUAUAGUGUGGUCUAAGUGGCUAUCGAGCGUUGCGUUCGGGCAACGGCGCAAUACGUCCUUUAAUGGGAAACCGCCCCUUCGGCGACGGGGGGCAGGACGCAAGGAAAUCUGGCUCGACCUAAGCCGCAAGGUUUACCCGAUUUGCUACCACCUUUUUAUUAUU